Molecule: small RNA, 160 nt
Organism: Roseburia sp. CAG:309
Lineage: Bacteria; Bacillati; Bacillota; Clostridia; Lachnospirales; Lachnospiraceae
Rfam family: Clostridiales-1 RNA
Source: Rfam
CUGCCCAAGGGGAUCAAAGUUUUCAUUUUCCAUGCUUGCAUGGAAAAAAUGAAAACCUUGAUCCCCGCACAAAAACGAGAAGGGAGCGGCAGAGCCGCGGAGUUCGAGUUUUUGCAGGGAUGCGGGAGCAGCGUAAGCUGCGAAGCAUCCCGUAGGGCAA